This is a long non-coding RNA of Lolium rigidum, 226 nucleotides long. RefSeq lists it as uncharacterized. NCBI's taxonomy places the organism in Eukaryota, Viridiplantae, Streptophyta, Magnoliopsida, Poales, Poaceae. The record is from RefSeq and is a predicted model, not a curated record. The transcript is spliced from 5 exons.
AAAGUGGUAGAGGAUACCGCUGAUCUGGUAUUGAAAGCGAACCUCCAACCGGUCCUCCACAUCUAAGCAAGAUGUGUCAUGGAAGAAGAUGAAGUUAUAGAGAAGAUUAGGCCUUGAUGUUCUACAGCAAGGUGGUGUGUAUUGGAUUCAGUGGUGUGAGAUAUGGUUCUGCUGCUCACCAACCAGUAGAAUUUGUUGUUGAUUUUCCAGGAGACAACGAGAAGGU